Paramuricea clavata is the source of this 249-nucleotide non-coding RNA. The record is from the annotation of a GenBank genome assembly. Lineage: Eukaryota; Metazoa; Cnidaria; Anthozoa; Malacalcyonacea; Plexauridae.
ACAAACCUCAAAAAUAUUGAUUUCCUUGUCUUUUUUGAAGGAUUUGCAUGCGUUUAGCGCUGUAAAAAGCAAAUAAUUUCAGAUUUUUAGAUGGUAGUGAUGGGCGAUUCUAUCGAUAAAGUAUCGAAAGCAACAGAAACUUACAAAAGUAUGAUAAAUUCAAUCAUGGUAUCGGACUGGUAUCGUGUGGAAACCAGAAACGCUGGUAUCGCCCAUCCACUAGCUAUCAGAUGCAUAGACUUUCCAAAG